AAUCAACGCUGGCGGCGUGCCUAACACAUGCAAGUCGAACGCGAAAGGGGCUUCGGUCCUGAGUAGAGUGGCGAACGGGUGAGUAACACGUGGGUGAUCUACCUUCGAGUGGGGGAUAACGUCCCGAAAGGGCCGCUAUUACCGCAUGAGGUCUUGGGUUUAAAGACCUGAAAACAAAACCCGGGACCCCCAAGGCCUGGCCCUGGGAGAGGAGCCCGCGUCCGUUUAGCCAGUUGGCGGGGUAAAGGCCCACCAAGGCGACGAUCCGUAGCUGGUCUGAGAGGAUGAUCAGCCACACUGGAACUGAGACACGGUCCAGACUCCUACGGGAGGCAGCAGUGGGGAAUAUUGGACAAUGGGCGCAAGCCUGAUCCAGCCAUACCGCGUGGGUGAAGAAGGCCUUCGGGUUGUAAAGCCCUUUUGUUGGGAAAGAAAUCCAGCUGGUUAAUACCCGGUUGGGAUGACGGUACCCAAAGAAUAAGCACCGGCUAACUUCGUGCCAGCCGCCGCAGUAA
RNAcentral lists this ribosomal RNA (515 nucleotides) under uncultured bacterium. RNAcentral's name for it is "partial 16S ribosomal RNA". It matches the Rfam family "Bacterial small subunit ribosomal RNA", at positions 32 to 523 of the family's 1533-position model. The record is from RNAcentral.